RNAcentral lists this non-coding RNA (29 nucleotides) under Rattus norvegicus (Norway rat). The record is from RNAcentral. Lineage: Eukaryota; Metazoa; Chordata; Mammalia; Rodentia; Muridae.
UCCUUGCUGCUUCUUUCCAUGCAUUUUGA